RNAcentral lists this ribosomal RNA (329 nucleotides) under uncultured eukaryote. Its description in RNAcentral is "partial 18S ribosomal RNA". It matches the Rfam family "Eukaryotic small subunit ribosomal RNA", at positions 1470 to 1796 of the family's 1831-position model. The record is from RNAcentral.
CCCUUAGAUGUUCUGGGCCGCACGCGCGCUACACUGAUGCAUUCAACGAGUCUAAAACCUGGUCUGAGAGGGCUGGGUAAUCUUUUGAAAGUGCAUCGUGAUUGGGAUAGGUGAUUGCAAUUCUUCAUCUUCAACGAGGAAUGCCUAGUAAACGCAAGUCAUCAGCUUGCAUUGAUUACGUCCCUGCCCUUUGUACACACCGCCCGUCGCUCCUACCGAUUGAACGAUCCGAUGAAAACUGUGGAUUGAGAGUCUGAGUGGGUUCGCCUACCUCAACUUUCGAGAAGCGGUUUAAAUCUUAUCGUUUAGAGGAAGGAGAAGUCGUAACA